GGANUCACUGGGCGUAAAGGACGCGUAGGCGGAUUAUCAANUCUCUUGUGAAAUCUAACGGCUUAACCGUUAAACUGCUUGAGAAACUGAUAAUNUAGAGUAAGGGAGAGGCAGACGGAAUUCUUGGUGUAGGGGUAAAAUCCGUAGAGAUCAAGAAGAAUACCCAUUGCGAAAGCGAUCUGCUGGAACUUAACUGACGCUAAUGCGUGAAAGCGUGGGGAGCAAACAGGAUUAGAUACCCUGGUAGUCCACGCCCUAAACGAUGUAUACUAGUUGUUGCUUCGCUAGUCGAGGCAGUAAUGCACCUAACGGAUUAAGUAUACCGCCUGGGGAGUACGGUCGCAAGAUUAAAACUCAAAGGAAUAGACGGGGACCCGCACAAGCGGUGGAGCAUGUGGUUUAAUUCGAAGAUACGCGAAGAACCUUACCCGGACUUGAUAUCUAGCAAAUCAUCCAGAGAUGGAAGAGUGUCUGCUUGCAGAAAUGUUAAGACAGGUGCUGCACGGCUGUCGUCAGCUCGUGUCGUGAGAUGUUGGGUUAAGUCCCGCAACGAGCGCAACCCACGUCAUUAGUUGCUAACGGUUCGGCCGGGCACUCUAAUGAGACUGCCUUCGCAAGGAGGAGGAAGGUGUGGACGACGUCAAGUCAUCAUGGCCCUUAUGUCCGGGGCGACACACGUGCUACAAUGGCGUAUACAAUGAGACGCAAUAUCGCGAGAUGGAGCAAAUCUAUAAAAUACGUCCCAGUUCGGAUUGGAGUCUGCAACUCGACUCCAUGAAGCCGGAAUCGCUAGUAAUCGUAGAUCAGCCAUGCUACGGUGAAUACGUUCCCGGGUCUUGUACUCACCGCCCGUCACACCAUGGGAGUUGAUUUCAC
This 876-nucleotide ribosomal RNA is filed under the name uncultured bacterium. RNAcentral describes it as "bacterial SSU rRNA". It matches the Rfam family "Bacterial small subunit ribosomal RNA", at positions 547 to 1420 of the family's 1533-position model. The record is from RNAcentral.